GACGAACGCUGGCGGCGUGCUUAACACAUGCAAGUCGAACGGAAAGGCCCUGCUUUUGUGGGGUGCUCGAGUGGCGAACGGGUGAGUAACACGUGAGUAACCUGCCCUUGACUUUGGGAUAACUUCAGGAAACUGGGGCUAAUACCGGAUAGGAGCUCCUGCUGCAUGGUGGGGGUUGGAAAGUUUCGGCGGUUGGGGAUGGACUCGCGGCUUAUCAGCUUGUUGGUGGGGUAGUGGCUUACCAAGGCUUUGACGGGUAGCCGGCCUGAGAGGGUGACCGGCCACAUUGGGACUGAGAUACGGCCCAGACGCCUACGGGAGGCAGCAGUGGGAAAUAUAGCACAAUGGGCGGAAGCCUGAUGCAGCAACGCCGCGUGCGGGAUGACGGCCUUCGGGUUGUAAACCGCUUUCGCCUGUGACGAAGCGUGAGUGACGGUAAUGGGGAAAGAAGCACCGGCUAACUACGU
Molecule: ribosomal RNA, 467 nt
Filed under: uncultured bacterium
Lineage: Bacteria
Description: partial 16S ribosomal RNA
Rfam family: Bacterial small subunit ribosomal RNA
Source: RNAcentral